CCGAGUUGUAAUUUGUAGAGGAUGCUUCGGGCGUGGCCGCGGUCUAAGUCCCCUGGAACGGGGCGUCGCAGAGGGUGAGAAUCCCGUCUUCGGCCGGCCGGCUUCGCCCAUGUGAAGCUCCUUCGACGAGUCGAGUUGUUUGGGAAUGCAGCUCUAAAUGGGUGGUAAAUUUCAUCUAAAGCUAAAUACUGGUCGGAGACCGAUAGCGCACAAGUAGAGUGAUCGAAAGAUGAAAAGCACUUUGAAAAGAGAGUUAAACAGCAUGUGAAAUUGUUGAAAGGGAAGCGCUUGCGACCAGAGUCGGCCGCGGGGGUUCAGCGGGCAUUCGUUGCCCGUGCACUCCCCCGUGGCCGGGCCAGCGUCGGUUUCGACGGUCGGUCAAAGGCCCCCGGAAUGUGUCACCCUUCGGGGUGUCUUAUAGCCGGGGGUGCAAUGCGGCCAGUCGGGACCGAGGAACGCGCUUCGGCACGGACGCUGGCUUAAUGGUCGUAAGCGACCCGUCUUGAAACACGGACCAAGGAGUCUAACAUCCACGCGAGUGUUCGGGUGUCAAACCCGUCCGCGCAGUGAAAGCGAACGGAGGUGGGAACCCUUAAGGGUGCACCAUCGACCGAUCCAGAAGUCUUCGGAUGGAUUUGAGUAAGA
Molecule: ribosomal RNA, 645 nt
Filed under: Onygenales sp. BGE-2017a
Lineage: Eukaryota; Fungi; Ascomycota; Eurotiomycetes; Onygenales
Description: eukaryotic LSU rRNA
Rfam family: Eukaryotic large subunit ribosomal RNA
Source: RNAcentral